AGUGAACGCUGGCGGCAGGCCUAAUACAUGCAAGUCGAACGGCAGCACAGCAGAGCUUGCUCUGUGGGUGGCGAGUGGCGGACGGGUGAGGAAUACAUGGGAAUCUGCCCAGUCGUGGGGGAUAACGUAUGGAAACGUACGCUAAUACCGCAUGCGCCCUAAGGGGGAAAGCCGGGGACCGCAAGGCCUGGCGCGAUUGGAUGAGCCCAUGUUCGAUUAGCUAGUUGGCGGGGUAAAGGCCCACCAAGGCGACGAUCGAUAGCUGGUCUGAGAGGAUGAUCAGCCACACUGGAACUGAGACACGGUCCAGACUCCUACGGGAGGCAGCAGUAGGGAAUAUUGGACAAUGGGGGCAACCCUGAUCCAGCCAUGCCGCGUGAGUGAAGAAGGCCCUCGGGUUGUAAAGCUCUUUUGUCCGGAAGAAAAGCAAUCGGUUAAUACCCGGUUGUUCUGACGGUACCGGAAGAAUAAGCACCGGCUAACUUCGUGCCAGC
RNAcentral lists this ribosomal RNA (494 nucleotides) under uncultured bacterium. Its description in RNAcentral is "bacterial SSU rRNA". It matches the Rfam family "Bacterial small subunit ribosomal RNA", at positions 29 to 512 of the family's 1533-position model. The record is from RNAcentral.